UUUCGCAAUGCCCGAAAGGGUGACGAAGCGACGCCGCGUGUGGGAAGAAGGUCUUCGGGUUGUAAACCACUGUCAGGAGUUAGGAAAUGCAGGGGGGUUAAUAGCCCUUUUGUUUGACUAAGGCUCCAGAGGAAGCCACGGCUAACUCUGUGCCAGCAGCCGCGGUAAUACAGAGGUGGCAAGCGUUGUUCGGAAUUAUUGGGCGUAAAGAGCACGUAGGCGGUCCUGCAAGUCUGUUGUGAAAUCCUUCCGCUUAACGGGAGAACGGCAGCUGAUACUACAGGACUAGAGUACGGGAGGGGGGAGUGGAACUUCUGGUGGAGCGGUGAAAUGCGUAGAUAUCAGAAGGAACGCCGGCGGCGAAAGCGACUCUCUGGCCCGAAACUGACGCUGAGUGUGCGAAAGCUAGGGGAGCAAACGGGAUUAGAUACCCCGGUAGUCCUAGCCGUAAACGAUGGGCACUAAGUAGAGGGGUUUU
RNAcentral lists this ribosomal RNA (478 nucleotides) under uncultured Planctomycetales bacterium. Its description in RNAcentral is "bacterial SSU rRNA". It matches the Rfam family "Bacterial small subunit ribosomal RNA", at positions 364 to 832 of the family's 1533-position model. The record is from RNAcentral. Lineage: Bacteria; Pseudomonadati; Planctomycetota; Planctomycetia; Planctomycetales.